AUAUACAUUUGAUGAUUAUUGUAUAUUAUUUCUAUAUUUUUUUGAUAUAAAAAGUAUUGUAUGUUUCAUGAAUACACAAACAUCAAGAAGGUGCCAACCCAUGCACAAAAAUAUUUAUGUUCAUCAGAUAUAAAUAUGAUCUCCAAAAUUCUCCAUAAAAUAAAGAUGAACACCCAUAAUUAAAAAACUCAAAAUUUGAAACCAUCUAUCUCUAACUCUAUCAAAAUCAUCUUCCACCCUUCAAAAUCUCUCUUUUUGUUUUCCCACACCACCCAAAAUAUAACAAGGGGAAUAAGACUCACAUGUUUCUUUCCAG
Molecule: long non-coding RNA, 316 nt
Filed under: Carica papaya (papaya)
Lineage: Eukaryota; Viridiplantae; Streptophyta; Magnoliopsida; Brassicales; Caricaceae
Description: long non-coding RNA (CPAP_LNC005105)
Source: RNAcentral